GUGCUUGCUUCGGCAGCACAUAUACUAAAAUUGGAACAGUACAGAGAAGAUUAGCAUGGCCCCUACAAGGAUGCACAAAUUCAUGAAGCGUUCCAUAUUAAA
Molecule: small nuclear RNA, 102 nt
Organism: Rhinopithecus roxellana (golden snub-nosed monkey)
Lineage: Eukaryota; Metazoa; Chordata; Mammalia; Primates; Cercopithecidae
Source: Ensembl